RNAcentral lists this ribosomal RNA (253 nucleotides) under uncultured bacterium. RNAcentral describes it as "partial 16S ribosomal RNA". It matches the Rfam family "Bacterial small subunit ribosomal RNA", at positions 524 to 776 of the family's 1533-position model. The record is from RNAcentral.
UACGUAGGGGGCAAGCGUUGUCCGGAUUUAUUGGGCGUAAAGAGCGUGUAGGCGGCUUUGCAAGUCCGUUGUGAAAACUCGAGGCUCAACCUCGAGACGCCGGUGGAAACUGCAAAGCUAGAGUCCGGAAGAGGAGACUGGAAUUCCUGGUGUAGCGGUGAAAUGCGCAGAUAUCAGGAGGAACACCGGUGGCGAAGGCGGGUCUCUGGGCCGGAACUGACGCUAAGGAGCGAAAGCGUGGGGAGCGAACAGG